CCUACGGGUGGCAGCAGUGAGGAAUAUUCGUCAAUGGGCGAGAGCCUGAACCAGCCAAGUCGCGUGAAGGAUGAAGGACCUAUGGUUUGUAAACUUCUUUUAUAUGGGAAUAAAGUGAGGAACGUGUUCCUUUUUUUAUGUACUAUAUGAAUAAGCAUCGGCUAACUCCGUGCCAGCAGCCGCGGUAAUACGGAGGAUGCGAGCGUUAUCCGGAUUUAUUGGGUUUAAAGGGUGCGUAGGUGGUUAAUUAAGUCAGCGGUGAAAGUUUGUGGCUCAACCAUAAAAUUGCCGUUGAAACUGGUUGACUUGAGUAUAUUUGAGGUAGGCGGAAUGCGUGGUGUAGCGGUGAAAUGCAUAGAUAUCACGCAGAACUCCGAUUGCGAAGGCAGCUUACUAAACUAUAACUGACACUGAGGCACGAAAGCGUGGGGAGCAAACAGGAUUAGAUACCCCAGUAGUC
This 460-nucleotide ribosomal RNA is filed under the name uncultured bacterium. RNAcentral's name for it is "partial 16S ribosomal RNA". It matches the Rfam family "Bacterial small subunit ribosomal RNA", at positions 338 to 795 of the family's 1533-position model. The record is from RNAcentral.